CAAAUUUUUUUAAUCAAUUUUUUGUUGGGCCCAUGGCCAUUUUAUUGAUUGACAAGCAAAAUAGGUUUGGCCAAACGACCCAAUAAGAAAUAAAUCCAGCCCAGAAAUUAACCCUAUAAACUUCCGCCUCCUUCUCACUUUCCUUGUAUCCUUGUCGUCCAUAUGCUCCCAUCCGGCAGUCGUUAGAACCUCCAGCUUCGCCGUCUUCUUCUAUGGGUUUGGUGCCUUCAUGCCACCCUCCUCCACUUUUGGCAGCUCACAUAAGAGCAUUCACUACUAAAAGUACUGUGAAGUCCACCAGUGUGUGGAAAUCUUGGAGGUAGCUAUUGUGAGUGUGCCAUUUGAACACAGACAUAUGUAACUAGGAUUGGCAUACGGCGCACCGUUGAUCCAGUGAGCAACUCAGGGUUAGUUGGACAGCCUUCUUACAUUCCGGAGGCAUCUUUUAUCACUUGCUUUUUGUUUUUCAGUUGUUAGGAUGAUUGGAGGUCUUGUCCUCUUUGUUUUAGAGGCUUCAUAGACAUAUAUUAUUAGUUCUUUAGUCUUAUUCAUCUCAAUUGUAAACGUUUAAGACAUGUUUUUCU
Long non-coding RNA from Solanum lycopersicum (tomato), 584 nucleotides. RefSeq lists it as uncharacterized. The record is from RefSeq and is a predicted model, not a curated record. Lineage: Eukaryota; Viridiplantae; Streptophyta; Magnoliopsida; Solanales; Solanaceae.